AUGGCGGUAGCUCAAUUGGUAGAGCAAUUCCUCAACCAGGAAGAGGUUGUGGGUUCAAAUCCCACCUGCUAUU
Non-coding RNA from Megaselia scalaris, 73 nucleotides. The record is from Rfam. Lineage: Eukaryota; Metazoa; Arthropoda; Insecta; Diptera; Phoridae.